UCUGGACUUCCCCAACAUCGGGAACAAUCUUCCUGCAUCUAAACCACCUUUGAAUCUGUCCUCUGCCUGACCAACAUGCCCAGCAUCUCUGUGACCCUCUAACAGAAGUGUAUCAGCUGGCUUGGACAUGUCCACAGGAUGGGAAAUGGACGCAUCCUCAGAGAUGUGGUGUACGGUGAGGUCACCAAUGCACGGUGGUGGAGGCCAAUACCAGAGUGGCAGUUCAGUAACUUUUGCAAUGUGUAUGGGUACGGAGGGACAUGGAACUUGUGCUGGCGUGUCAGAGUUGGUUUUUCCAUUGUGUCUGACAUAUUAUUUUUUGCUGUAUCUUAACUGGCCUGUAAAUUCAACAACACACUGAUAAAAUGUUCAGUAUUAUUAAUUAAAUGCUACUGUAGAACACUGUCCACAGUGGAACCAAAGACGCAGUCCAUAAUAUCUCGUAGUUGUGAGUGUCUGGAAUAGACUGUGGGGUGGGCUGGUGGUUGAGGCAGGCACGAUAGUGGCAUUUCAGCAACUUUUGGAUACAAAUAUGGAUACACAGGGAAUAGAGGAAUAUUGAAUUUGUGCAGUUGGUCUGGGCAUUAUGUUUAGCACAAACAUUGUGAGCCGAAGGACCUGCCCUUUAACUGUUCUGUUCUAAUUAUUUAAUUGUCAUAUGUACAGGCAACAGGCAAUUUAAAUUAUUUUCUUGUUGUAGAUUAACAAGCCUGUAAUUGCAACAACACAAAAAUGCAUUAAUCAAAAUGUCAGUAAAUUAAGCGUCUUGAUACCAAUGUAAAAACUGUCUGUAAUGCAACUCAAGACUCAGUCUGUAGUCCUUCUUCAUUGUUCAUAGUUGUGGUUAGUGUUGGGCAAUGUUUAAGAGCCUGAUGGUUGCUGGGAAGAAGCUGUUCCUGAACCAGGAGGUUGUGUUUUUUAAGCUACAGUACCUUGUUGCUGAUGGUAAGUGAAAUAUUGAGAGUGUGGUCAGGGUGGUGUGUGUCUUUGACAUUAGCUACCUUUAGGAUGCAGCAUCUCCUGUAGAUCCCUUUGAUGGUGGGGAGAUCACGGCCCGACCGCCAGCUACAGCAGCCAAGAUCGCCCCUGUCAACAGACGUCUAGGGGCCCCUGACCGCGGGAGAGCAAAGAAGGGAAGAGAUUGAACUUUUUCCAGGGUGAUCAUCAGCCUCUGAUUGACCAAAGGACAUGAUCUGAAGAGAUGGCCAUGGACCAAGGGAAACAUGUAGAAGCUUCAUCGCUCCUGACUCUUCUGUGUUCCUGAGGAGGAUGUGGUGCUACUAGGAAUAGGCUGAGCUGCUUCUCCGCUGAACUGCCUUCCUGUACCUGGUAUGGGACAUUGCUCGGGGCUUCAGGGUCGCUCAGCAUUUGGAGAAACAAUGGGCCUUUGGGAUCUUCAGCGUUGCCCUGUCCUUCAAGUCCAUGGCUGAAGAUCUACCUCCAACAUUUUGCUGCACAGUGCCAGAGGGAAAAAUCAAGCAGAAACCCAUUGAAGCCUCAUCACUACGGACUGUAACCUGUUCCAAUGAGAGAUCAGAUGUCACCAGAAACCCACUGUAACCACUCUGGACACUGCUCUUCCAGGGUGCAGGACGUUACUCAGUACGUACCCUUCCAAAGGUUGUCUAUGUAGACAGCAGGACUUAACCAGUUGGGGUCAUGAGGACCAGUGGGUCUAUUGUCCAACCAAGGAGUUCUGAAGUCCCGACCUCCCUUUCUUUUGUAGCAGGUGACUCAAAUCCCACCCACCCUUUCAAAGGUCAUUGUAAAAGCCACCAAUAAAUAGCCGUGAUCUUGUA
Molecule: long non-coding RNA, 1799 nt
Organism: Amblyraja radiata (thorny skate)
Lineage: Eukaryota; Metazoa; Chordata; Chondrichthyes; Rajiformes; Rajidae
Exons: 2
Source: RefSeq, a predicted model, not a curated record